GGGUUUUUCCACUCAAGACAUCGCUGAAGCUAUGAGCAGCUGCGGAAGUGGAGCGGCGAUUCAAACGAUCAUUGCGUAUAUAAUUGAGCAUGGAUCUGGCGCUCAGCCGGACGAGGAUAUGACUGCGUUAGAUACAUUGACGACACUCGGCUACAGCUACGAGCAGGCGUCACAAGCAAUUGCAUCGUGUGGGGCGGAGGACAUCGAUGUUCUUGUCGAUUUCCUCGCAGCUCGCGACUUCGACGCGUU
Selaginella moellendorffii is the source of this 249-nucleotide long non-coding RNA. RefSeq lists it as uncharacterized. NCBI's taxonomy places the organism in Eukaryota, Viridiplantae, Streptophyta, Lycopodiopsida, Selaginellales, Selaginellaceae. The record is from RefSeq and is a predicted model, not a curated record. The transcript is spliced from 4 exons.